CAUUUUGUUGUGGGUUUUUUUAAGGGGGUUAUGGAUUAAAACCCUUCCCCAUUUGGGCACAUUUUGCUUGAUCAGAGUUUUAGCCCCAGCUGUAUAAUGCAUCCUGAUACUUACCUAAAUAAGGUUCUCGUUGGGAGCGAGCAAGGUCC
Arachis ipaensis is the source of this 149-nucleotide non-coding RNA. The record is from RefSeq and is a predicted model, not a curated record. Lineage: Eukaryota; Viridiplantae; Streptophyta; Magnoliopsida; Fabales; Fabaceae.